AACUGUAAUAAUUUGGAGCUAAGGCGAGAAAACCAAGCACGCGGAGCUUGUUUAAGGCCAUAAAGCGACUUAUCCAGCUUGCAGAGAUAACCAGGAUGUUGAGAAUCCACAAAUCCAGGGGGCUGCUUCAUAUAAACAUCUUCAUUAAGAACGCCACGAAGAAAAGCAUUUUGAAUAUCAAUCUGCUGAAUAGCCCAACCACGAGAAAUAGCAAGAGAUAGUAAGAGCCGAAUGGUAGUGGGCUUAACAACUGGACUAAAGGUAUCAUCAUAAUCAACGCCAUACUGCUGUUUAAACCCUUUAGCAACCAGGAGUGCUUUGAUACCAUGUUUGA
This is a long non-coding RNA of Cucurbita maxima (winter squash), 334 nucleotides long. RefSeq lists it as uncharacterized. Lineage: Eukaryota; Viridiplantae; Streptophyta; Magnoliopsida; Cucurbitales; Cucurbitaceae. The record is from RefSeq and is a predicted model, not a curated record. The transcript has 3 exons.